UCCGUAGGCGGGCCUGUAAGUCAGUGGUGAAAUCUCAUAGCUUAACUAUGAAACUGCCAUUGAUACUGCAGGCCUUGAGUAAAUUUGAAGUGGCUGGAAUAAGUAGUGUAGCGGUGAAAUGCAUAGAUAUUACUUAGAACACCGAUUGCGAAGGCAGGUCACUAAGAUUUAACUGACGCUGAUGGACGAAAGCGUGGGGGAGCGAACA
Molecule: ribosomal RNA, 208 nt
Filed under: uncultured bacterium
Lineage: Bacteria
Description: partial 16S ribosomal RNA
Rfam family: Bacterial small subunit ribosomal RNA
Source: RNAcentral